This is a long non-coding RNA of Mercenaria mercenaria, 476 nucleotides long. RefSeq lists it as uncharacterized. Lineage: Eukaryota; Metazoa; Mollusca; Bivalvia; Venerida; Veneridae. The record is from RefSeq and is a predicted model, not a curated record. The transcript is spliced from 3 exons.
GCAGACUGUCAGUAUGGUUAUCAAGAGAAGACGUCUUCACAAUAUCAUCAUUGAUAAAAUGCUUUGAAUCAUGUUCCAGAAAAUCCAACAUUACAGGACUUUUGACCACAGAGGUUUAUGACUUUGGUGAUUGGAUGAAUCUCAACAAUAUGAGGAACCAUUCGCAACCCCAUGUAUUUAAAAUAAUAAGAGACCAAAAUGGAAAAGCAACAAUCAAAUACAAGAAAUGGACAACUGACAAAACAUGGCAAAACUGUACAGGAAGCGAAGACUACCUCAUAAAAGAUGAUCCAAAAUCAGAAAGGCCAGUGAGUACCUUGCAACCAAACACAGAAAGAAUGGACAUAGACAGAAUUAAAAAGGACUUAGAGGCAGUUGCAAGGUAAAUACGUAUUGGUUUAACCAUUAAUUUAAAAAUAACAGUUCCAUUUGAUAGUGUUCUAGGGAUCCAGAUAAUUGUUCAUGCAAUUAGUUUC